GGAGAUUUACCCAAGUGGUUGAAGGGGUCGGUCUUGAAAACCGAUAGGGGGUGCAAGCCCCGCUAGGGUUCAAAUCCCUAAAUCUCCGCCA
RNAcentral lists this transfer RNA (91 nucleotides) under Bacilli bacterium. RNAcentral describes it as "tRNA-Ser". It matches the Rfam family "tRNA". Rfam says of the family: Transfer RNA (tRNA) molecules are approximately 80 nucleotides in length. Their secondary structure includes four short double-helical elements and three loops (D, anti-codon, and T loops). Further hydrogen bonds mediate the characteristic L-shaped molecular structure. tRNAs have two regions of fundamental functional importance: the anti-codon, which is responsible for specific mRNA codon recognition, and the 3' end, to which the tRNAs corresponding amino acid is attached (by aminoacyl-tRNA synthetases). tRNAs cope with the degeneracy of the genetic code in two manners: having more than one tRNA (with a specific anti-codon) for a particular amino acid; and 'wobble' base-pairing, i.e. permitting non-standard base-pairing at the 3rd anti-codon position. RNAcentral also lists the same sequence under 1 other name. The record is from RNAcentral. Lineage: Bacteria; Bacillati; Bacillota; Bacilli.